Mus musculus (house mouse) is the source of this 1509-nucleotide long non-coding RNA. RefSeq annotates it as predicted gene 44700. The record is from RefSeq and is a predicted model, not a curated record. NCBI's taxonomy places the organism in Eukaryota, Metazoa, Chordata, Mammalia, Rodentia, Muridae. The transcript has 2 exons.
CGCGGCUGCGCGGGGAGUCCCAGAGGUCCAGCAGCUGCGGGCAGGGGGGCAUGACCACCACCCACCCGAGCUCCCCACCCAACCCUCUGAUAGCCUCCACCGCGCCAUUUCCCACACACACCCAGACUGUCUGGCCAGGCCCUCCCGUGUUCCCAGGCUUCCUGCCCUGGUCCAUCAAGCCCUAGGGUAAUUCUGGAGCCGCAUCUGAUACCCACCUCCUCCGGAAUCUGCAGGAAGAAAACACCAAGGGAAUGAAGGUUGGAGAGCUCGCAGAUUUCCUUCCUCCCCUUCCACACCUCUCACACCCCUCCUUCUUUCUGAACCCUUAAUAUUUCCUCAUCUUUGACCUAGGUCCUCUCUGACCCCUCCCCCAACCCUUUCCUUUCCACCUGUGCCCACAUCCCUUCUCUGGCCCUUUGGUCCCCUCCUGCUCUCGGACCCUCAACGUUUUUCUCUUCCUGUUCCUGAAUCCCUUUCUCCAAUGAUAUCUGCAGUGGCACUCCUCUUUGAACCCACAGUACACUUCUGCCCAUAACGGUGCCCUUGUGACCCUCUGCCCCUCCAGACCCUCAACUUGACCUUGGCCUCACCUGGAACACGUGGAAGCCCACAGUGAGGGGUCCCCAAGGCCUCACCAGCGCUGGGCUGACUCCCACCGGAGUUGAAGCCUCGCACCCAGCGGCCCUGGAAGAUGUGGAUAUGCCAGCCGCCGCCAGCAGGGCUGGGGCCCAACACCUCAGGACUCAGUGAACAAAUCUGCACUGUGUUGAAGUGCGUGAGAAAGUCUUGAAGCUCCAUCCUGGAAAGCACCAGCCGUGAAAAGUACCCAGCCACUCCAGAGCCCGGCUUGAGGGGCCCCAGAAGUGCCCCCAGUUCCCUAAAGACUGCAGAAUAACUUCCAAUCUCCAGAAACCCCGAAGCCUUCAGGCCUUGGCAAUGUCUCCAAGUCCUCACAAAUACCUUAUCUCGGGAAGGAGUCACAAACGCCUCUCAACAUAUUCAAAUUAGCAUUAGAAAACCCGCAAAUAGGUCUGGGAAAAUGGCCGAGCCAAUAAAAGCCACUGCUGUCCAAGCCUGACAAGCUGAGAGUUUGACCUUAGCAUCUCACAGUGGAAGGAGAGGACUGAUCCUCUCACCACCAAUGGAGAAAUAGAAAAGUUUUAAAUUAUAUAUAGUUAAAGCCUCCCCAGAUUCCCCCUAAAUAUGGUUCUAUUCCAAUUAAAUCUCCCAAAAUCACUGACUCUACAUUCCUUUAGAUCCCCUCAUGCCUGUAAUUCCAUCCUUGCCUUUUGGAAAGCUGAGGUCAAAAUAUGGCCAUGAGACAAGGACUAGCCUGGUCUAUAUAGUGAGUUUUAAGCUAACCUAAUUUCAGUGUUCUCCCUCUGAAAACAAUGCCCUUUAUAGUCCUGAUCUUACUGCUUCUGCUCUAACUUUGCAAAAAAAUAGAUUUAGAUUCCCACAUCACAGCUGAUAGGGACCAUUGCUCUGCAACAUGACCCAUCCAUCCCA